GCAGAUCAUAAUUUUCCAGCAUGUUAUGUGAAUACAGAUGGAUCUUCUAUUUGUGGGAGAGAACUGCACAGUAAUAAGAAAUUUGAUCUGGAAGAAGAAAACGAAGAAAAUGAGGAUUUCCUGAGAUACUUCUGCCUAUCCUUGCCAAUAUUUGAUAAAGAGAAGGAUCUAAUGUUCCUAAGAAAAUAA
Long non-coding RNA from Pseudopipra pipra, 189 nucleotides. RefSeq lists it as uncharacterized. NCBI's taxonomy places the organism in Eukaryota, Metazoa, Chordata, Aves, Passeriformes, Pipridae. The record is from RefSeq and is a predicted model, not a curated record. The transcript has 2 exons.